CUGGCCGUAAACGAUGGGUACUAGGUGUAGGAGGUAUCGACCCCUUCUGUGCCGGAGUUAACGCAAUAAGUACCCCGCCUGGGGAGUACGGCCGCAAGGUUGAAACUCAAAGGAAUUGACGGGGGCCCGCACAAGCGGUGGAGUAUGUGGUUUAAUUCGACGCAACGCGAAGAACCUUACCAGGGCUUGACAUUGAGUGAAAAGCGUAGAGAUACGUUCCUAUCCUUCGGGAUACACGAAAACAGGUGG
Molecule: ribosomal RNA, 249 nt
Filed under: uncultured bacterium
Lineage: Bacteria
Description: partial 16S ribosomal RNA
Rfam family: Bacterial small subunit ribosomal RNA
Source: RNAcentral